UGAGGAAGCUCAGGACUCUGACCUAGAC
Molecule: non-coding RNA, 28 nt
Filed under: Homo sapiens (human)
Lineage: Eukaryota; Metazoa; Chordata; Mammalia; Primates; Hominidae
Source: RNAcentral